This 253-nucleotide ribosomal RNA is filed under the name uncultured bacterium. RNAcentral's name for it is "partial 16S ribosomal RNA". It matches the Rfam family "Bacterial small subunit ribosomal RNA", at positions 524 to 776 of the family's 1533-position model. The record is from RNAcentral.
UACGUAGGGCGCGAGCGUUGUCCGGAAUUAUUGGGCGUAAAGGGCUCGUAGGCGGUUUGUCACGUCGGCUGUGAAAACCCGGGGCUCAACCCCGGGCCUGCAGUCGAUACGGGCAGACUAGAGUGCGGUAGGGGAGACUGGAAUUCCUGGUGUAGCGGUGAAAUGCGCAGAUAUCAGGAGGAACACCAGUGGCGAAGGCGGUUGCCUGGGGCUUUGCUGACGCUGAUGCGCGAAAGCGUGGGGAGCGAUCCGG